RNAcentral lists this unclassified non-coding RNA (229 nucleotides) under plant metagenome. RNAcentral describes it as "partial contains small subunit ribosomal RNA, internal transcribed spacer 1, and 5.8S ribosomal RNA". The record is from RNAcentral.
UCUCCGUAGGUGAACCUGCGGAGGGAUCAUUACAGAGUCCUCGCCCUCGCGGGUAGAUCUCCCACCCACUGUUAUCGUUACUGUGUUGCUUUGGCGGGCCGCCGGGCCCCGCUCGGCCGCCGGCUCCGGCUGGCGCGCGCCCGCCAGAGGCCCUGCAAACUCUGAAUGUUAGUGUCGUCUGAGUACUAUAUAAUAGUUAAAACUUUCAACAACGGAUCUCUUGGUUCUG